This 253-nucleotide ribosomal RNA is filed under the name uncultured bacterium. RNAcentral describes it as "partial 16S ribosomal RNA". It matches the Rfam family "Bacterial small subunit ribosomal RNA", at positions 524 to 776 of the family's 1533-position model. The record is from RNAcentral.
UACGAAGGGGGCUAGCGUUGCUCGGAAUCACUGGGCGUAAAGCGCACGUAGGCGGACUCUUAAGUCAGGGGUGAAAUCCUGGAGCUCAACUCCAGAACUGCCUUUGAUACUGGGAGCCUUGAGUUCGAGAGAGGUGAGUGGAACUGCGAGUGUAGAGGUGAAAUUCGUAGAUAUUCGCAAGAACACCAGUGGCGAAGGCGGCUCACUGGCUCGAUACUGACGCUGAGGUGCGAAAGCGUGGGUAGCAAACAGG